Long non-coding RNA from Dreissena polymorpha, 2490 nucleotides. RefSeq lists it as uncharacterized. NCBI's taxonomy places the organism in Eukaryota, Metazoa, Mollusca, Bivalvia, Myida, Dreissenidae. The transcript is spliced from 8 exons. The record is from RefSeq and is a predicted model, not a curated record.
UGAAAACUGAUAACUUUUAAAAUUAAAACUUCCUAACACAAUAGUUUAAAAUCAGUACACGUAUUUAACUGAUCAGGUUAACAUACAAAACUAUUAAUUUUCAGCAUAAUGAAGAUAUUUAGCAGUCUAUUAACAGGAAUAUUUUUCAUAAUUGGAUUGCCGUAUUUCGCGCGGAGUACAAGCGAAUGUCCCGAUGGCACAUAUGGGUUGAACUGUUCACAGACGUGCAGCACACAUUGUCGUUAUGGAAACGAACCCUGUAACAAAGCAGACGGAAGUUGCCAUGAUGGAUGUGCUACUGGAUAUGACUAUUUUCUAGAUACAAAGUGCAACCAAAAGUGCGCUUCUGGCCAUUCCGGGUGGAGGUGUCAACCUUGCGGACACUGCAAAGAGUCCGAGUGUGACUGGAUGACUGGUGAAUGUACCCACGGGUGUGAUUCUGGGUGGUGGACACCAAUAUGCAAAACUGCAUGCGACGACGGCAAAUAUGGGUUAAACUGUUCACAGUCAUGUGGCAAAAACUGCGUUGAUCCUCGUUCAUGUAACAAAACGAAUGGAGCGUGCAUUGGUGGAUGCCGUCCUGGAUAUGAUUAACAGGAAGACGUGUUUUGCAAUAUUGCAUGCGAACGAGGAUACUUUGGACUUUACUGCACUUCAAAGUGCCACUGCAAAGAAGGACUACAUUGUGACCACGUAUCUGGGAUAUGUUCCGGGUCAAGAUGUGAACUCGGAUGGACUGGCGACAAUUGUAGUAUACAACUAGUGACGAAUGAGACAACAGCUCAAGAACCCGUAAAGCCGUUAUCUGCAAUAUUGUCAAUGAAAGACAACUAUAUUAAACUUUUAUUAAUUAUAAUAUCAGUGAUAUCAACGGUCCUGGGACUUUUUAGCGCAGCCUUUAUAUUAAUGUUCUGCAUUAAACGUUCGAGAAGGAUAAAACAGAAGCCAUCCGCAAACUCUGAUAGUUCCACAAAAUCCUUGAAUCUGACGUCUACAUCCACAAUUAUAUAUGGUGCUCUAUCGUCAACAGCACAAAUAUCUAAUGACGAUGAGCAGGUGCAAAUGAGCUCAGAUGCAUGUGAAUCCGAUUCUCCCGAGUAGUGGAUCGUUCGAAUAUAAGGACGUACAUCCUGCUUUUAUAGCGAACAAGUGUACUUAAAGGAACCACUUAUGCCAUAAAAUCGAGUUGUCUGAAGUAUUAACAUAGAACUAAACUCAAUUUUUAAAUUAAUAAACAAAAAUGUAUGACUGUUUUAUUCGGUGUUUGUUAUUCGAUUCUUAGUACGCGUAAGGUUAUAGGGAUUGUCUGUGACACUAUCAGCAUUACGUACACGUGAUCUUUUACGUCGUAUAAUGAAGACACGUUCUAAACAUCAUGGUGUUUUGCGAUUUGUUUCAAUGAAAAGGUAGAUAACAGUGUUUUUUAAGAUAUUUUUGAAAGGUGUAUGCAUUAAUCUUAACAUCGAGGCAGAUCUUUACAUUACGAAAGGAUAACUUAUAGUAAAUAUAAUAUGUUUAUAAAGACGUUUGUUGCGUUAAGCUUGGGGAAAAACCGGUUCGAAAACAGUGAUCGUCACGAUUUCCAGCAUCCAUGAAUAUGUUCAACUGGUUCGAAAUUGUUUUUAGACCAUUUCAUUAAGAUGUUGAAAUAUUGAUAAUUUUAGCAGAUGUAAUAGGAGCGUUCUUUAGCUACUUAUUGGACCUGUUGAUGUUAUACCUCGAAAUUAAUGGGCUUCCUGCUUUCGUGAAGAAAUAACCAGCAGGGAUCCAUAAAUCAAUAGAUUCCGAUUAUAUUCCAUUUAAAAAACUGGUCUUUGAUAAACAAUUUAAAUGUUACAGGCACCAGUAGCGUUGCAAAUCGAUCUGCUCAUUUCACAAGUAUUCUUCGUAUUUGUUUCCUUCCAAGCAACCAAUGUUCACAUUUAAAUUAGUGUUUUUCAAAUAUCGCGUGUGUGAAUGCCUCGCUAACCAUUGCAUUUGACAUUAACAUUAAAAAGCGUUUUUUAUCAUAAAAAUGUAUUCAUUAUAUACAUGUGCAUGCUCUGUGGUGAAAGCGUUUCCAAAUUGUAUAGUUAAAGAUACAUGAUCAUACCAAUACACUAAUUGAAUGUUAAAGCGUCAUAAAAUAAAACAAUCGAAUACGUAUCGACCGACCAUUCGACCAAACCACGGACAGGUGCGAUUGGACAUACAUCUUAUGAUAACUAUUUUUUACAAAGUCCGUUCUUUUUUCUGGACCAGAACUUGCGUUUUUAGAAUAAAGGUUAAACAUAUUAACAACGCAACAGUUUACUUUCAGAUAUGUACUUAUGGCAAUUAGACAUUUUACUAUUAUAUUCUCAUACCCAAACAGAACAUGCUCGGUAUUACACGUUGAAAGAUUUUGUUGAAUAUUUUGUGAAAGUACACGUGAGAAUUACUUUUAUAUCUAAAAAUUAAUUUCAUGUGAGUUGGAGAUAACGUUAACAUAUCUUUGACAGUUGUAUAUAU